AAUGGAAUGCCUGAAUUUAAAGGGCUAUCUUGAUAUGAUAGAUAAUGUAAGUCUAUUACUUCCAUUA
RNAcentral lists this transfer RNA (67 nucleotides) under Cucujoidea sp. 31 KM-2017. Its description in RNAcentral is "tRNA-Ile". Lineage: Eukaryota; Metazoa; Arthropoda; Insecta; Coleoptera. The record is from RNAcentral.